ACGGGAGGCAGCAGUGGGGAAUAUUGCACAAUGGGGGAAACCCUGAUGCAGCGACGCCGCGUGGAGGAAGAAGGUCUUCGGAUUGUAAACUUCUGUUGUUAGGGACGAUAAUGACGGUACCUAACAAGGAAGCCACGGCUAACUACGUGCCAGCAGCCGCGGUAAAACGUAGGUGGCAAGCGUUGUCCGGAAUUACUGGGUGUAAAGGGAGCGCAGGCGGAACGACAAGUUAGAAGUGAAACCCAGAGGCUCAACCGGUGGCCUGCUUCCGAAACUGCCGUUCUUGAGUAGUGUAGAGGUAGGCGGAAUUCCCAGUGUAGCGGUGAAAUGCGUAGAUAUCAGGAGGAACACCAGUGGCGAAGGCGGCCUACUGGGCACCAACUGACGCUGAGGCUCGAAAGUGUGGGUAGCAAACAGGAUUAGAUACCCUGGUA
Molecule: ribosomal RNA, 434 nt
Filed under: uncultured Oscillospiraceae bacterium
Lineage: Bacteria; Bacillati; Bacillota; Clostridia; Eubacteriales; Oscillospiraceae
Description: bacterial SSU rRNA
Rfam family: Bacterial small subunit ribosomal RNA
Source: RNAcentral